GAUGAAGAACGUAGCAAAAUGCGAUAAGUAAUGUGAAUUGCAGAAUUCAGUGAAUCAUCGAAUCUUUGAACGCACAUUGCGCCCGCCAGUAUUCUGGCGGACAUGCCUGUUCGAGCGUCAUUUCAACCCUCAAGCCCCCGGGUUUGGUGUUGGGGAUCGGGCUGUACUCCAGCCCGGCCCCGAAAUCUAGUGGCGGUCUCGCUGCAGCCUCCAUUGCGUAGUAGCUAACACCUCGCAACUGGAACGCGGCGCGGCCAAGCCGUUAAACCCCCAACUUCUGAAUGUUGACCUCGGAUCAGGUAGGAAUACCCGCUGAACUUAAGCAUAUCAAUAAGCGGAGGA
This 342-nucleotide unclassified non-coding RNA is filed under the name soil metagenome. Its description in RNAcentral is "partial contains 5.8S ribosomal RNA, internal transcribed spacer 2, and large subunit ribosomal RNA". The stretch from base 1 to 120 matches the Rfam family "5.8S ribosomal RNA", at positions 35 to 154 of the family's 154-position model. The record is from RNAcentral.